GAUGAACGCUGGCGGCGUGCCUAAUACAUGCAAGUCGAGCGAACGGACGAGAAGCUUGCUUCUCUGAUGUUAGCGGCGGACGGGUGAGUAACACGUGGAUAACCUACCUAUAAGACUGGGAUAACUUCGGGAAACCGGAGCUAAUAACGGAUAAUAUUUUGAACCGCAGGGUGCAAAAGUGAAAGACGGUCUUGCUGUCACUUAUAGAUGGAUCCGCGCUGCAUUAGCUAGUUGGUAAGGUAACGGCUUACCAAGGCAACGAUGCAUAGCCGACCUGAGAGGGUGAUCGGCCACACUGGAACUGAGACACGGUCCAGACUCCUACGGGAGGCAGCAGUAGGGAAUCUUCCGCAAUGGGCGAAAGCCUGACGGAGCAACGCCGCGUGAGUGAUGAAGGUCUUCGGAUCGUAAAACUCUGUUAUUAGGGAAGAACAUAUGUGUAAGUAACUGUGCACAUCUUGACGGUACCUAAUCAGAAAGCCACGGCUAACUACGUG
This 497-nucleotide ribosomal RNA is filed under the name uncultured bacterium. RNAcentral describes it as "partial 16S ribosomal RNA". It matches the Rfam family "Bacterial small subunit ribosomal RNA", at positions 28 to 507 of the family's 1533-position model. The record is from RNAcentral.